GGUUCGAUGGUGUAGUUGGUUAUCACGUCAGUCUAACAAUCUCCUUUGUUGGGUUCACUGAAGGUCUCCAGUUCAAGUCUGGGUCGAAUCA
This is a non-coding RNA of Neodidymelliopsis sp. IMI 364377, 91 nucleotides long. NCBI's taxonomy places the organism in Eukaryota, Fungi, Ascomycota, Dothideomycetes, Pleosporales, Didymellaceae. The record is from the annotation of a GenBank genome assembly.